CAAAUUCUAUGCGCGAAGUCGUCCAUCUCUCUCUCCAUUCUCUCGUUAUUCUCCAAGUAGCAAUGGUCGUCGGUGAGGACCGCAGUGGAGUCAAGCGUCCGGAACCACCUACUUGGGGUGUCGGUCGAGAAGGAUAUGCUCUCUGAGUUCUUUAGACGUAUUCACCCUGGGAAGUCGGCUAUUUGUGCUUGUUUGGAGGGUAAGAGGAUGCAAAUGUCUUGGCGGGAUUUGAAGAAUAAGACCGAUUGUGGGGUUUAUUUUAUGUGUCACAUGGAGACGUAUGCAGGCCAAGGGAUGUCUAAAUGGAAAUGCGGUCUUGUUAAGGGGGACACUACGGAGCUACACAAACUUAGGCUGCACUACAUGAAAGAACUCGCAGUUUCUGAAUUCAAUCCCAGGUGUACCAGUAUACCAGUUUUUCUCUCGCUCCUUCGUAGAGAUGUUUUUCCUGCUAUGUCAUUUUGUUGGUUGUCGCUUGUUGUUGACUACAAUUACUAUUGUUAGAACUUUUUGUUGUGGCGGUCUUUUGUGCACACGCUAUAUAAUUGUGUUGGCCCGUUUCUAAUUUUCUACACGCUUCUCGUAUGGUUUUAGUGCUACGUUUUUGUGCAAUCCUGUGUAUACGUUGGGUUAAGUGUAUAUAGAACAUACAACUUUCUUCCACUUAUUAGACUAUGGUUUCAGCUAAUUAUAUCCAUAUUCAUUUUGUAAUUCCA
Molecule: long non-coding RNA, 716 nt
Organism: Ipomoea triloba (trilobed morning glory)
Lineage: Eukaryota; Viridiplantae; Streptophyta; Magnoliopsida; Solanales; Convolvulaceae
Exons: 2
Source: RefSeq, a predicted model, not a curated record